UCGAGCGCGGGAAGCGAGCGGAUCCCUUCGGGGUGAAGCUCGUGGAACGAGCGGCGGACGGGUGAGUAACACGUGGGCAACCUGCCUGUAAGAUCGGAAUAACCCCGGGAAACCGGGGCUAAUGCCGGGUAAUACUUUUCUUCGCAUGAAGAUGAGUUGAAAGAUGGCUUCUCGCUAUCACUUACAGAUGGGCCCGCGGCGCAUUAGCUAGUUGGUGAGGUAACGGCUCACCAAGGCAACGAUGCGUAGCCGACCUGAGAGGGUGAUCGGCCACACUGGGACUGAGACACGGCCCAGACUCCUACGGGAGGCAGCAGUAGGGAAUCUUCCGCAAUGGACGAAAGUCUGACGGAGCAACGCCGCGUGAACGAUGAAGGUCUUCGGAUCGUAAAGUUCUGUUGUCAGGGAAGAACAAGUACCGUGCGAAUAGAGCGGUACCUUGACGGUACCUGACGAGGAAGCCCCGGCUAACUACGUGCCAGCAGCCGCGGUAAUACGUAGGGGGCAAGCGUUGUCCGGAAUUAUUGGGCGUAAAGCGCGCGCAGGCGGUUCCUUAAGUCUGAUGUGAAAGCCCACGGCUCAACCGUGGAGGGUCAUUGGAAACUGGGGAACUUGAGGACAGAAGAGGAGAGUGGAAUUCCACGUGUAGCGGUGAAAUGCGUAGAUAUGUGGAGGAACACCAGUGGCGAAGGCGACUCUCUGGUCUGUUUCUGACGCUGAGGUGCGAAAGCGUGGGUAGCAAACAGGAUUA
RNAcentral lists this ribosomal RNA (751 nucleotides) under Halobacillus sp. CUA-722. Its description in RNAcentral is "bacterial SSU rRNA". It matches the Rfam family "Bacterial small subunit ribosomal RNA", at positions 49 to 780 of the family's 1533-position model. The record is from RNAcentral. Lineage: Bacteria; Bacillati; Bacillota; Bacilli; Caryophanales; Bacillaceae.